CGUGGUUGGCGAGGAACACGAUGCCCUUGGCGUCGCUGGCCAGGACCAGGUCGGGGUCUGGUUCCACUGCCGUUCCAGAUCGGGAAACUCCAGC
Molecule: transfer RNA, 94 nt
Filed under: Pseudomonas aeruginosa
Lineage: Bacteria; Pseudomonadati; Pseudomonadota; Gammaproteobacteria; Pseudomonadales; Pseudomonadaceae
Description: tRNA-Ala(cgc)
Source: RNAcentral